This 543-nucleotide ribosomal RNA is filed under the name Parmotrema reticulatum. RNAcentral's name for it is "SSU rRNA". It matches the Rfam family "Bacterial small subunit ribosomal RNA", at positions 356 to 929 of the family's 1533-position model. Lineage: Eukaryota; Fungi; Ascomycota; Lecanoromycetes; Lecanorales; Parmeliaceae. The record is from RNAcentral.
GAGGAAUGUAUAGCAAUAGCUACUUGUAUCAUUAAUGAUGCAAGCUCGACUAUGUUGAAUAAAGUUCUAGGUAGAAUUAUGAUAAUGACAUUGUCUGCCUAUGUGUCUUGACCAAAUUACGUGCCAGCAGUCGCGGUAAUACGUAGAAGACUAGUGUUAUUCAUGUUUAAUCGGUUUAAAGGGUACCUAGACGGUGAAUCAAGCUUUAAAAUAAAUAAGAAAAGGACUAAUUCGCUAGAGUUACUUACGAGGGGGUAUUAAAGUACUGCUGGUGUAGAGAUGAAAUUCUGUCAUACCUCUUUUCGAAAGAAAAAUCAUGGCACAGGUAUAGGCGAAGGCAUCCCCUUAUGUGAUAACUGACGUUGAGGGACGAAGGCUUCGUGUAACAAACAGGAUUAGAUACCCUAGUAGUUGAAGCAGAAAAUGAUGAAUGUCAUAGAUUAGACGUCUAAGUUUAUUCUAUAAAUGAAAGUGUAAGCAUUCCACCUCAUGAGUAAUUUGGCAACAUUGGAAUUGAAAUCAUUAGACCGUUUCUGAAACCAG